Molecule: transfer RNA, 71 nt
Filed under: Phrynoderma karaavali
Lineage: Eukaryota; Metazoa; Chordata; Amphibia; Anura; Dicroglossidae
Description: tRNA-Ile
Source: RNAcentral
GAAAAUGUGCCCGAAAGCUAGGGACCUCCUUGAUAGGGAGGCUAAUAGAGGUGCAAACCCUCUCAUUUUCU